UACUUGUUCCAACACCAUCUGAUGGUCAAU
Molecule: non-coding RNA, 30 nt
Filed under: Mus musculus (house mouse)
Lineage: Eukaryota; Metazoa; Chordata; Mammalia; Rodentia; Muridae
Source: RNAcentral